Small nucleolar RNA from Paramormyrops kingsleyae, 81 nucleotides. Ensembl annotates it as small nucleolar RNA snR60/Z15/Z230/Z193/J17. The record is from Ensembl. Lineage: Eukaryota; Metazoa; Chordata; Actinopteri; Osteoglossiformes; Mormyridae.
UGCAUACAAUGAUGACUCCAUAGUUCAGCAGAUGACCUGUGAUGAACAGACACUGUCUUUCGCUCCUAGCUGAUGUAUUGC